GCUGGCAUAUCACUAGUCGACUUAACCCAACUUGAACAACCUUUCUAUUCCAGGUACGUGUACAAGUAUGUAUAUCCUUUUACAAUAUGCAAAUCAUGCAUUUAGAUACCAUAACGUGAUACAAUGACAUUGAUCAAUCAUAAGCUUAUAAAGCAUGCAUGCAUGAGCGAGGGAGCCCAUGCAAACGCCUGACAUAUGAACUGUAACAGUGCGCGCGUAUGACAUGCAAUAGCUACGAGUAAAUCGAUGGAUAGAUGGAUCACAUGGGGCAGGUGAAGUUGGCGGGGCACUUCUUGCCGCACUGGUUGAGUNNNNNNNNNNGGUUCGAUUUGAAAUUGUCCAUUAAGAUGAAACCAAUAUAGGAUUUAAUCUUCCCAGCCACACGAUGCGGAUGAUGCAAAUUCUCACCAUUUCUUAUAUUAUUUCUUUUAUCCGAGAUGUGCCAUAUAGCCACAGUAAAGUACAAUGCGUGAAGAUCUGGUGCAACAUUUAUCCAUUCUAGCAAUCAUUGAUGAAUAUUGAUAAACCUUUUUAGAUUUAGCACGAUAUGAAAAGACCUUUCAUAGUUUGCCCAAAAAUUCUUUGACAUAAUGGGAAAAGAAGAAACAAUGUUCCACAGUCUCAACUCUAUUACAGAUAAAACACUCAUACCUCGUAGGAAAUGUUCCACAGUUUCAUCAAUGUUCCUCACCAGUAGGUAAAAAAUUACGAACCAUUCUCCAUAAGAUGAUCUUCAUUCUAUUUGGACUUUGUAUUUCGAGUUUUUGCUCUAUAUUUUUCCUGUUUCCUCCAUGUUCGAGGCUGAUCCUCUUCCAUCAGAGCUCUAGUACAUCCAGAACGAUAAGGAUUUUGCAAGGUUAUACCGAGACAAUAUAGUGUAGGUGCCUCCAUUCGUGUAUGGCCAUGAUGCGAAAUCUCAGCACCCUUAUGAACUUAGAGGGAUCUUUAGGAUCUUUACAACCAGGUUUUUUGGAAACAUUUCACUAACAACCACACUGUUUCAUGAUUUACCAUCAGUUAAAAACAAAUGGUUCGCAGUCUUAUCCUCCUCCACCGGGAAAUUUGUACAAAGUAUGCCACGAAAUGAGUGUGGGAUCCAAUUAUCUUAAAUCAAAGAUAUUUGCUUUCCGUCUCCUAAUUGCAAGAAUAAGCCGUUUUGAAGGAGUUUCUUACCAAAUAAUAUGCUGCGCCAUGUGUGGGAAGCUGAUCUUGGGCAUCCUGAUCUCCAAAAAUCUCCAUGCGGGAAAUACCUUCCUUCUAAUACCUUGAAGCAUAAUGAAUUGGGGUUCACUAAGAGCCUACAGCACUGCUUUGCAAGCAUGGCUUGAUUAAAAAUCACCAAGUCCCUGAAUCCCAUUCCUCCAAGAUACUUGGGCGAGGAUAGCCAAUUAGAGGACCUCCAAUGAAUUUUUUCCUCCCAUCUUCCAUUCCCCACCAUACUGGAGAUAGGUCUAUUCAUGUUCUCACAUAUUGAUAUUGGAAUUUGGAAGCAGCACAUUACAUAUGUCCGGAUGGCUUGAGCCACCGACUUUAGAAGUACUUCUCUACCUUCUCUGGAUAACAGUCUUAUCAUUCCACCCAUUUAAUAUCCUCCAUAGCCUCCGAGUGAGGAAAUUAAAAUUGCUUGUUGUAGAGCAUCCCACCCAAGAAGGCAUGCCAAGGUAAGUGGCUUGUAGAGACUCAUCUCGGACUCCUACCAUGUUCUUUACUCGUUCCUUCACCCGAUUGUCACAAUGAUGUCCAAAGAAGAUAUAUGACUUGUGCAAGUUGAUUUUCUGACUAGAGCCUUUGUAGUACGUCUCAAGAGCGAUUUUAAGUAUGUUUGUGCUUCUAUUGUCGCCCUUCACAAAAAAUAUGCUAUCAUCAUCAAAUAAGAGGUGGUAAAUAGGAUNNNNNNNNNNUUGAUGUCCAAAGAAGAUAUAUGACUUGUGCAAGUUGAUUUUCUGACCAGAGCCUUUGUAGUAGGUCUCAAGAGCAAUUUUAAGUAUGUUUGUGCUUCUAUUGUCUCCCGUCACAAAAAAUAUGCUAUCAUCAUCAAAUAAGAGGUGGUAAAUAGGAUGGCCUGCUUUUCUGUUCUUGAUUUCUCUAAUGUCCCUUAUUGCUUCUUUUAACUGUAGAAGACAAGAUAAACCUUCAGGACAUAAUAAAAAUAAGUAUGGGCUGAUGGGAUCACCCUGACAUAUGCCUCUAGUAGGUAUGAAAGGGCCAGUUAAGUUCCCAUUUACUUUGACUGCAUAUUGUAUAGAGGUCACACACCUCAUCACCGAUUCUAACUAGUUUCAAAUAAAGCCAAAUUUAACAAGAACCCCUUUCAAAUAAGGCCAUUCAACUCUAUCAUACACUAGUAGAAAAGAGGGCUUUGGUCCACUUGAUAAAAUCCCAUUAGUCUUGGGCCGACCCAUGUGGGAGGCGGGACACCAAUGUUUUUUUUUUAUAUAUUUCCUUUUUUCUUUUCUGUAUUUGUAUUUUCUAUUUUAAAAUAAUUCAGGAUUACAAAAUGUUUCCAUUUUCAGGAAAUAGAGAAAUAAAAAUAUUUUGAGAAAUCAUAAAUAUUCGUGAAUUCGUGAAAUGUGCAUGUUUUUGAAAAACAUUUGGGAAGUCAUAAAAUUUUCAAAUUUAAAAGAAUUCAUGAUUUUCAAACAAAUCUUUGCAUAUUCAAAGAUCUUUCAUGNNNNNNNNNNGAAAUCCCAUUAGUCUUGGGCCGACCCAUGUGGGAGGCGGGACACCACUGUUUUUUUUAUAUAUUUUUCCUUUUUUUCUUUUCUGUAUUUGUAUUUUCUAUUUUAAAAUAAUUCAAGAUUAUAAAUUUUUUCCAUUUUCAGGAAAUAGAGAAAUAAAAAUAUAUUUGAGAAAUCAUAAAUAUUCGUGAAUUCAUGAAAUGUGCAUGUUUUUUAAAAACAUUUGGGAAGUCAUAAAAUUUUCAAAUUUAAAAUAAUUCAUGAUUUUCAAACAAAUCUUUGCAUAUUCAAAGAUCUUUCAUGAUUUUGAAAAAAAGUCCGGGAAAGAAAUAAAGUGUGUGGGUUCAAAAACAAUUAUUAAAGAUGGAAGAAGUUCAUGAAUUAAAACAAUAUUCACGAUUCUGUAAAAAAUGUCCAUAAAAAAUGUAUUUCAGUUUAAAUUGUCCCUGAAUUUCGAAGUUCAUCNNNNNNNNNNAAAAAGUGUGUGGGUUCAAAAACAAUUCUUAAAGAUGGAAGAAGUUCAUGAAUUAAAACAAUAUUCAUGAUUCUGUAAAAAAUGUCCGUAAAAAAUGUAUUUCAGUUUAAAUUGUCCCUGAAUUUCGAAGUUCAUCAAUUGAAAAGAGGUUUGCUGAAUGAAAGUAUGUUCAUGGUUUUCAAAAACAAAUUUAUUAAAAAAAUUGUGAUCUUCAAAAAGUUUUUCCAAAAUAUAAAAAUAUUUAUCAAUUCAAAACAAUUGGUUUAACUUUAAAAAAAUGUUCAUGAUUUCAAAUAAUGUCCGAGAAUAUGCAAAAAAUACGAAUAUAAAAAAUGUACACGUUUCAAAACAUGUCCAUAAAUUGAAAAAAUGUUUAUGAUUUCCAAAUGUGUUCACAAUUUUGAUAUUUUUUCAAUAUUUGUUUUUUUUGAAAAAGACAGGAAAAUUGAAAUUGGAAAUAAUGAAAAAUAUAAUAAAANNNNNNNNNNUCACGUUUCAAAACAUGUCCAUAAAUUGAAAAAAUAUUCAUGAUUUCGAAAUGUGUUCACAAUUUUGAUUUUUUUUUCAAUAUUUGUUUUUUUAAAAAGACAGGAAAAUUGAAAUUGGAAAUAAUGAAAAAUAUAAUAAAAGGCAAACAAGAAAAAAAAUGAGAAAUGAAAAAUUAAAAUGAAAAUGACAUAAUAAAAGAAAAUCAAAAAUAGAAAAGAAAGUGGAAAAGGAGAAAUACGAAAAUGAGAAAGAUAUAGAAAAAUAAAAAGAAGCAACAAAGAAGAAGAAAAUAAAAACUGACUCAACGAAGGUUCUAGAACUUCCGCCAACUGAAAAGAAAAAAAACUAGACUAGGAUGGUCCAAACGCGGGACAAUCUCGGGAGGGGGCUAUGCACCAGCUUGCUAUAGAGCGACCUACAUGCCAAAUNNNNNNNNNNUACUUCCGCCAACUGAAAGGAAAAAAAAUAGACUAGGAUGGUCCAAACGCGGGACAAUCUCAGGAGGGGGCUAUGCACCAGCUUGCUAUAGAGCGACCUACAUGCCAAAUUGGAACAAGAAAGCAAGACAUAGUCAUGCCACAUACGCUUGGUUGUCUCAUGGCAAUCGACAGGUAGCCCCUUGACUAUGUGCCAAGCCACACAUGUAGGUUGUAUCACUAAAGGCUUAAUUAUUCAGCCCGGCGUCAUCGCGCACUUGAGUAUUUCUUUCCUGUGUGGUCUAGAUGGGCUUGAUUUGUGGUCGUGGAUGACACCGUGAAGACCUCUUAUGGCAAGGCCAAGUGCACCGUACUCAUCCAGGCCUCGUAUGAAUAACCUCUUUUUCCUCUUAAUUCUCUUGUUUUAAUACUUCUCCUAGUUUCUAAUUUCUUCUUGUUUCGAAAUUUCAGACAAGCAUGGCAGGUUUGGGCUUGAUCUGAAGAUUUUCUUCCUCGGACCGUAACAGAAUUUGGUUUGUUCAAGAAGCUCAAGUAAGUCUUCUUUUUACCAGCAAAAGAAAGAAGCUCAUGUAAGUAUUUUUCUUAAGAUCUUUUAACCCAAGAAAGGAUAUGUGUCCUUGUUGCUCAAUCGUUUUUCCGAUCUCCGACUAAGACAUCCUGAUAAGAACGGCGCCCAAAUAUUUCACAUGAACAUGGUUCCUAUAUACAAGCUAUACAUUAUGUUUCAAAAGUAUGACAUAUAUAAAUAUGCCAAGUUCUGUUGCUUUCAUGCUUAGCACNNNNNNNNNNGAUCCUGACAAGAACGGGGCCCAAAUGUUUCACAUGACCAUGGUUCCUAUAUACAAGCUAUACAUUAUGUUUCAAAAAUAUGACAUAUAUAAAUAUGCCAAGUUCUGUUGCUUUCAUGCUUAGCACCUUUGGUUAACACCCCCAGGAUAGCAGGUAUACAUUUUUAACCAGGGUAGUUAUAAUUAAUCUUUUUUGCUUCCGAGCACCCAUUGUAUAUAGAGAGAUUUACACUAGGAUGUCAAUACCAUCUGUAUAUUUUGUUGUUGUUGACACUGCCUUAUCAAACUAAAUAAACAAAAANNNNNNNNNNNNNNNNNNNNNNNNNNNNNNNNNNNNNNNNNNNNNNNNNNNNNNNNNNNNNNNNNNNNNNNNNNNNNNNNNNNNNNNNNNNNNNNNNNNNUCCGACGGCCACCUUCAUGGAUAUGUUCUUGAAUUUCUGAUGAAGUUCACAUGAUGUUGAAUCCUUGAUUCCAUCCACGGGGUAGCCGGGACCGCCCUCUAUCAUUCUUCGUUCAUCGGCGGGCGGGGCCUCAGAUUCAGCCACGCUGCUUUUCCGCUUAGAUGGGGCACCGGUAAUAUCAAGUGCAGGAUCUUCCUGGCGCGGUACUCCUCUAAGCUCAUCAAUCUUCUUCUGUUGCUCGUUAAUCCUGGCAAGCAACUGGUUGAACUUGUCAUUCUCCUCAUCCUGCUUCCGCUUCUGUGCUCUCUCUCGGCUUCUGUAAGUGUCUUGGUCUCUGGCAAACCCAAGCCACCACGGGUAAGAUGGACCGAAGCCUCGCAUUCGUCCUCCAUGUUCGUCAUUGCCGAGGACCAGUGUGAGCAAAUCUUUAUCUCUAUCUGCAGUGAACUUUCUUUGUCCCUCCUUAAUUUCUUUCACUAUCCUUUUCCAAUUCUCCCUGGGUAUCCUAAGAUUGUCAUUGCAGAUGAGGUCCCCUGUUUUUUCGUCGCACGACCCACCAUGCGCAAGGAACCAAUUUCUUGCUCUCCAUUCCCACUCAUCACGGAGUGGUUCAGGUACGAUGCCUUUAUCUAUCAGAUCUUGCUCUUUCUUUUCCCACUUUGGGAUCGCAGUCUCAUAGCCCCCUGGCCCCAGCUUGUGGUUAUAUAUCUUCUUGUCGGCAUUUAUCUUGUUCUUUUCUGAUAAUGCCUGGGCAUNNNNNNNNNNCCCUGGCCCCAGCUUGUGGUGAUAUUUCUUCUUGUCGGCAUUUAUCUUGUUCUUUUCUGAUAAUGCCUGGGCAUCUUCUCACUCCUUGUACUCUUGAAAUUCCUUCCAGUGAUUCGCAUGCUUGGCUAGAUACCCCUCGAAUACUGGCACUUUCUUUGUCGUCAGAUAGUUUUUCCAUAGCUUCUUCUUCCAGCUACGGAAUAGUUCGGCCAUCUUCUUUAGAGUCGACUGCUUGACUUUGGCCCUCAGUUUGUCUGCGGCGUCUUCAUUCUCACAUUCUGGCAGGUUGAAAUGUGACAUGAUAUCAUUCCAAAGACUAUCUUUGUACCUUUCGACGACAUAGUCACUAUCGGCUGCCCCUUUGCGCUUGUUCCACUCCCGAACGCUGAUCGGGACGUGAUACCUAACGAGAACUCCGCAUUGCUUCUUGAAUGUGUCAGCAUCAUUCUUAGGAAGCUUGGGUUCACCCGUAGGCAUUAUCAGCUCAAAGGUGUAAUGCGUCNNNNNNNNNNNNNNNNNNNNNNNNNNNNNNNNNNNNNNNNNNNNNNNNNNNNNNNNNNNNNNNNNNNNNNNNNNNNNNNNNNNNNNNNNNNNNNNNNNNNNNNNNNNNNNNNNNNNNNNNNNNNNNNNNNNNNNNNNNNNNNNNUGGAGGCCUAAGAGGGAGAAACAUUCGUCAAAUGAAUGUAUAUGUAUAGAAUAUAGAGCUAUCUCCAAUAUUUUUCACAUAUUACAAGUGAUUGUCGAACUUCAUAUGUAUACCUCGCCGGACUUUAUUAUUUCUUCACCGGCUUAUCCACCGGCUUCUUCAUCAGUGGAGCUAUCACCUUCUCCAUCAUUGGACCUAUCUCCUUUUUCUUCUUUUCUUCUCCUUUUUCUUCUUUUCUUCUCCUUUUUCUUCUUUUCUUCUCUUUUUCCUUCCUUUCUUCUCCUUUUUCUUCUUUUCUUCUCUUUUUCCUUCCUUUCUUCUCCUUUUUCUUCUUUUCUUCUCUUUUUUCUUCUUUGCUUGUGCUGGCCGGAGUGUUGGGGAGGAGGGGGCAUGGGGCUUACCGGCCGGAGGUGUCGACGGCGCGCGGCGAGGAGGACGGCGGCGCGCGGCGAGGAGGACGGGGCGACUCGCGGCGAGCAGGACGGCGGCGGCGAGUANNNNNNNNNNGCCCCAUCGGCUUCAUCUUCGUGUCGCUCGACCUCCAUUCCAUAUCCAUAGUCGUUUAGAUAUGACGUCGGAGAUUCAGCUGGUUCAACGUCGGGGCCGUCUUUGAUUAUAUCUUCGAGAAGUUCUUCCUCUUCGAGGUUCCUGAUAUGUGGAUCCAUAGUUCUGCAAAAAACGGACAUUUGAUUAACUAAUAAACUAACAAACUAUAUAAGAGGGGUUGGAAACUUCGAAGGCUCGUUUUAUAUAGGAGGACCUUUAGUCCCGGGUCUUGGCUAGAACCUAAACUCUAAAAUACCAGCCGGGCGGAGCCCAGUCCCGGACACUUAAGCAUAUACAAUAGCAAAAUUAAACUAGUUCUAUUAAUUUUCUUGCUAAAAAUAAACUAUUAACACUUAAGCAUAUACAAUAGAAAAAUUAAACUAUUAACAAUUAAGCAUAUACAAUAGCAAAAUUAAGCAAUAAUCUAAGAAACACUAUUAACACUUAAGCAUAUACACUAUACAAUAGCAAAAUUAAAUGACAAAAAAAAUAGUUCUUCUUCUUGUAACCCUAAACUAAUUUUUCCUCUUCUUCUAUUUGUCCUCUUCUUCUACUUCUUCUUCUACUUCUACUUCUCCUCUUCUUCUACUACUUCUCCUCUCCUCUUCUUCUAUUUUUCCUCUUCUUCUCCUCUCCUCCUCUUCUUAUUCUCCUUUUUCUUCUUUUCUUCUCCUCCUCUUCUUAUUCUCCUUUUUCUUCCUUUCUUCUCCUUUUUCUUCCUUUCUUCUAUUUUUCUUCCUUUCUUCUCCUUUUUCUUCCUUUCUUCUCCUUUUUCUUCUUUUCUUCUCCUUUUCCUUCCUUUCUUCUCCUUUUUCUUCUUUUCUUCUCUUUUUUAUUCCUUUCUUCUCCUUUUUCUUCCUUUCUUCUCCUUUUUCUUCUUUGCUUGUGCUGGCCGGAGUGUUGGGGAGGAGGGGGUGUGGGGCUUACCGGCCGGAGGUGUCGACGGCGUGCGGCGAGGAGGACGGCGGCGAGCGGCGAGGAGGACGGCGGCGCGCGGCGAGGAGGGCGGCGCGCGGCGAGCAGGACGANNNNNNNNNNNNNNNNNNNNNNNNNNNNNNNNNNNNNNNNNNNNNNNNNNNNNNNNNNNNNNNNNNNNNNNNNNNNNNNNNNNNNNNNNNNNNNNNNNNNCCCGAGUGCGACUUUUAGUGCACACUCGGAGAAAGUUAAUACUUAGGCGAUUCUNNNNNNNNNNGAGUGUAUCUGUAGGAUACACUCGAAGGCAAUUGAGUACUUAGGCGAUUCGUGAUCGCGGCUAAGUCUUCGAGUGCGACUGUAAGGUCGUGCUCAGAGCGAGUUUUUACUCAUGUAAUUGUUAGUGGUGUUGACAUCUACAUGAGCCUCAAUGAGGUUCUGCUACUCAUGUAAUUGUCAGUUGUCUUGACAUCUACAUGAGCCUCACUGAGGGUCUGUUGAGUCCCCAAGUUUAUCUGUAGGAUACACUCAAAGGCAAUUGAGUACUUAGGCGAUUCUGAUCGCGGCUAAGUCUUUGACUGCGACUGUAAGGUCGUGCUCGGAGCGAGUUGUUACUCAUGUAAUUGUCAGUGGUCUUGACAUCUACAUGAGCCUCAAUGAGGUUCUGCUACUCAUGGAAUUGUCAGUUGUCUUGACAUCUACAUGAGCCUCACUGAGGGUCUGUUGAGUCCCCNNNNNNNNNNNNNNNNNNNNNNNNNNNNNNNNNNNNNNNNNNNNNNNNNNNNNNNNNNNNNNNNNNNNNNNNNNNNNNNNNNNNNNNNNNNNNNNNNNNNAGUCUACACUUCUUAAUAUGUCCGAUAGAAAUAUUAAGAUUGAGGCUGAGAAGAAGGUGCAAACUCUUCUCACAGAGAGGAGAUGAAAUGGGCCCUUUGAGCAAAGGUGGCGAAGGUGGACCAUGGAGAUGAUAAAACACAAUUCUUUCACAUGAUUGGGAAUGGCAAACAUAGGAAGAAGAAAAUAAUUCUACUUGAACACGAUGAUGAUACAAUUGUAGGAAAUGAGAACCUAAAAUUGUACAUCUUCGAGUAUUAUAAGAAACUUUUUGGUGCACCCGAAGAGAAUUUUGUUUUUCUGGAUUAGAGCACAACAAGUGACAUUCCUCAACCCAGUUCAGAUGAGAACGAGAUUUUGUCAGCCCCAUUUACGGAUGAAGAGAUGUUUGACGCAAUAUCACAAAUGAAGCAAAAUAAGGCACCGGGACCAGAUGGGUUUCUGAUGGAAUUUUAUAAAAAGUGUUGGCAUAUUAUUAAAGAUGAUAUUUGCAUAUGUUCCAUGAUUUGUUUAAUGGGUAUUUACAUCUAUUCCACCUUAACUUUGGAAUAAUAAUGGUGUUUCUAAAGAAGGUGGAGGCUAUUCGCAUUGAGAAGAUCAGGCUGACUGCUCAAUGCCAGCUUCAAAAAAUUUACAAAGGUUGGCACGAAUAGGUUGACAAAGAUAGCCCAUUCCGUAGUCCAAUCGACCGAGACAACUUUCAUGCAUGGAAGACAUAUCCUAGAAGGGUUCAUUGUUUUGCAUGAAAAGUUGCAUGAAAUACAUAAAAAGAAACUUGAUGGGCUUAUCUUUAAAGUGGAUCUCAAGAAGGCGUACGAUAAGGUCAAAUGGCCAUUUCUUCAACAAGCCUUGUGUAUGAAGGGAUUCAACGAAUCCUAGAGGGAUCAUGUGGGUGCUUUCAUUUAGAAAGGUAGAGUUGGGAUUAAAAUUAAUGAUGACAUAGCUCAUUAUUUUUAGACUCAUAAGGGAUUGAGGCACGGAGAUUUCAUGUCUCCCUUGUUGUUCAACAUAGUAGCAGAUAUGUUGGCACUCCUUAUUGAUCGGGCUAAAGAGAAUGGCCAAGUAGGAGGACUUCCUUGGGGAACGUCGCAUGGGAAACAAAAAAUUUCCUACGCGCACUAAUACGUCCAUUUUGCAUCAUUCUUUCAUGUUGAUAUUUAUUGUUUUUUCGGAUUUUAUAUUACUUCUGGUAGCAUAUUUAUGCCUCUUCUCUCUUAUUUUGCAAGGCUUAUUUGAAGAGGGAGAAUUCAGGCAGCUGGAAUUCAGGACUGGAAAAGGAGCAAAUCCUAGUCCACUAUUCUGCACAUCUCCAAAUACCCUGAAAAUUUACGUGGAUUUUUUCUGGAAUAUAUUAAAAAUACUGGGCGAAAGAACUACCGGAGGGGUCCACCAGGGCCCCACAAGCCCCCACUCCGCCACCAACCCCCCUGGUGGCGGUGGGCAAGCUUGUGUGCUGCCUGAAGGCCCACUAGCCCCCCUCUUUUGCUAUGUGAAGCGUCCUGACCUGGGAAAAAUCAUACGGGAGCUUUUUCGUGGUUUCGCCGUCGCCACGAGGCGGAACUUGAGCACAUCCAAUCUAGAGCUCCGGUAGGACGAUCCCGCCAGGGAAAUUUCCCUCCCGGAGGGGGGGAAUCGUCGCCAUCGUCAUCACCAACACUCCUCUCGUCGGAGGGGAGUCAUCUUCAUCAACAUGUUCAUCAGCACCAUCUCCUCUCCAAUCCCUAGUUCAUCUCUUGUAAUCAAUCUUCGUCUCGCGACUCCGAUUGGUACUUUUAAGGUUGCUAGUAGUGUUGAUUACUCUUUGUAGUUGAUGCUUGUUGGAUUACUUGGUGGAAGAGUUGAUGUUCAUAUCCUUGAUGCUAUUCAUUACACCUCUGGUCAUGAUUAUGAUUAUGUCUUGUGAGUAGAUACUUUUGUUCGUGAGGACAUGGGAUAAGUCAUGCUGAUAAUAGUCAUGUGAAUUUGAUAUUCGUUCGGUAUUAUGAUAUGAUGUAUGUUGUUUUCCCUCUAGUGGUGUUAUGUGAACGUCGACUACAUAACACUUCACCAUGUUUGGGCCUAGAGGAAGGCAUUGGGAAGUAGUAAGUAGAUGAUGGGUUGCUGGAGUGACACAAGCUUAAACCCCAGUUUAUGCGUUGCUUCGUGAGGGGCUGAUUUGGAUCCACUAGUUUAAUGCUAUGGUUAGACUUUGUCUUAAUUCUUCUUUUGUAGUUGCGGAUGCUUGCGAGAGAGGUUAAUCAUAAGUGGAUGCUUUUCCAAGUAAGGGCAGUACCCAAGCGCCGGUCCACCCACAUAUCAAACUAUCAAAGUAACGAACGUGAAUCAUAUGAACAUGAUGAAACUAGCAUGACAGAAAUUCCCGUGUGUCCUCGGGAGCGUUUUUCCUCCUAUAAGACUUUGUUCAGGCUUGUCCCUUGCUACAAAAGGGAUUGGGACACUUGCUGCACUGUUUCUACUACUUGUUACUUGUUACUCUUUGCUUGCUACGUUUCACCUCGCUACACAAUCACCUAUUACCGCUACUUUCAGUGCUUGCAGUUAUUACCUUGCUGAAAUCCGUUUAUCACAGCCUUCUGCUCCUCGUUGGGUUCGACACUCAUACUUAUCGAAAGGACUAUGAUUGAUCCCCUAUACUUGUGGGUCAUCAAGACUCUUUUCUGGCGCCGUUGCCGGGGAGUGAAGCGCCUUUGGUAACUGGAAAUUGGUAAGGAAACAUUUAUAUACUAUGCUGAAAUUUAUUGUCACUUGUCACUAUGGAAACUCUUCCUUUGAGGAGUUUGUUCGGGGUAUAUUCACCACGAACGGAAGCACGAGGAGUUGCUCCUCAACCUGAGGUACCUACUGAAAAUAUCUUUUAUGAAAUUGCUUUGGGUAUGCUUGAGAAACUGCUGGCUAAUCCUUUCACAGGAGAUGGAUCUUCACAUCCAGACUUUCAUCUAAUCUAUGUAGAUGAAGUUUGUGGUUUAUUUAAGCUUGCAGGUUUGCCCGAGGAUGAGGUAAAUAAGAAAGUCUUUCCUUUAUCUUUGAAGGAUAAGGAGUUGACAUGGUAUAGGCUAUGUGAUGAUGAUGGAUCAUGGGGCUACAAUCGGUUGAAAUUGGAAUUUCAUCAAAAGUUCUAUCCUAUGCAUUUAGUACAUCGUGAUCGGAACUUUAUUUAUAACUUUUGGCCUCGUGACAGGGAAAGCAUAGCUCAAGCUUGGGGAGGCUUAAAUCAAUGAUAUAUUCAUGCCCCAAUCAUGAGCUCUCGAGAGAAAUCAUCACUCAAAACUUUUAUGCUCGGCUUUCUCAUGAAGAUCGUACCAUGCUUGACACUUCUUGUGCCGAUUCUUUUAUGAAGAAGGAUAUUGAUCACAAGUGGAAUUUAUUGGAGAGAAUCAAACGCAACUCCGAAGAUUGGGAGUUGGAGGAAGGUAAGGACUCAGGUAUGAAUUUCCAGUUUGAUUGCGUUAAAUCUUUUGUUGAGACAAACACUUCUAGAGAUUUUAGCGCUAAGUAUGGACUUGACUCUGAGAUAGUAGCAUCUCUUUGUGAAUCUUUUGCUGCUCAUGUUGAACUUCCCAAAGAGAAGUGGCAUCCUCCUGUAGAAAGCAACAUAGCCUAAACCAAUCUAGUUGAGGAGAAAAUCAUAGCUUUUAGUGAUCCUGUUGUUCCUUGUGCUUACACUAAGAAACCACCAUCCCCUGCUAGAAUGAAGGAUUAUUCUAAAGCUCCAACUGUGAUAUGUAGGGGUUACAUUAGACCACUUGCACCCCCUGAGGAGAUUAGAGUUGAACCUAGUGUUGCUAUUAUCAAAGAUCUCUUAGCCGAAGACAUAGAUGGGCAUGUUAUUAAAUUCUGUGAGGACUCUGCUAGAAUUGCUAAACCUCACGCGAAAGACAAGCAUGGACCUGUAGUUGGCCUUCUCGUUGUUUCUGUUAAGAUAGGAGAUCACUGCUACCAUGGUUUAUGUGAUAUGGGAGCUAGUGUUAUUGCAAUACCCCGUUAUCUCUAUGAUGAAAUCAAAGAUGAGAUUGCACCUGCUGAGAUAGAAUCCAUUGAUGUCACUAUCACGCUAGCUAAUAGAGACACUAUCUGCCCUUUGGGAAUUGUGAGAGACGUAGAAGUCCUGUGUGGUAAGACGAAGUAUCCUACUGAUUUCCUCCUCCUCGGUACUGCACAAGAUAGCUUUUGUCCCAUCAUAUUUGGUAGACCCUUUCUCAACACUGUCAAUGCUCACAUUGAUUGCAUUAAGCAGACUGUCACAGUAAGUUUUGAGGGUGUGUCUCAUGAAUUUAACUUCUCCAAGUUUGGAAGACAACCCCAUGAAAGAGAGUCGUCUGGUAGAGAUGAAAUCAUUUCUCUUGCCUCUAUUGCCGUACCUCCUACGGAUCCUUUAGAGCAAUAUCUUGAGCAUGAAAAUGAUAUGCAUAUGGAGGAGAGAGAUGAGAUAGAUAGAAUUGUCUUAGAACAACAUCCUAUUCUCAAGAAUAAUCUGCCUGUUGAACUGCUUGGGGAUCCUCCCCCACCUAAGGGUGAUCCUGUGUUCGAGCUUAAAUAGUUGCCUGAUACUCUUAAGUAUGCCUAUCUUGAUGAGAAGGAUAUAUAUCCUGUCAUUAUCAGUGCCCUCCUCUCAGAGCUCGAAGAGAAGAAGUUACUAAAAACUCUGAGGAAGCACCGCGCUGCUAUUGGAUAUACUCUUGAUGAUCUUAAUUAAGGGUAUUAGUCCUACUCUAUGUCAGCACAAGAUUAAAACCGAUCCUGACUUUAAACCAGUUGCUGAUCAUCAAAGGAGAUUGAAUCCUAAGAUGAAAGAGGUCGUUAGAAAAGAAAUAUUAAAGCUUCUGGAAGCAGGAAUCAUUUAUCCUGUUGCUCAUAGUGAUUGGUAAGUCCAGUACAUUGCGUACCUAAGAAGGGAGGUAUCACCGUCGUUCCUAAUGAUAAGGAUGAACUAAUCCCACAAAGGAUUAUUACCGGCUAUAGAAUGGUGAUAGACUUCCGGAAACUGAACAAGGCAACCAGGAAAGAUCAUUAUCCUUUGUCGUUCAUCGACCAAAUGCUAGAAAGGCUAUCAAAACACACACACUUCUGCUUUCUAGACGGUUAUUCAGGUUUCUCGUAGAUACUUGUUGCACAAUCUGAUCAAGAGUAAACCACUUUCACCUGCCCUUUCGGUACCUUUGCCUAUAGACGUAUGCCUUUUGGCUUAUGCAAUGCACCCGCCACCUUCCAAAGAUGUAUGAUGGCUAUAUUCUCUGACUUCUGUGAAAAGAUUGUCGAGGUUUUCAUGGAUUACUUCUCCGUUUAUGGGUCUUCCUUUGAUGAUUGCCUCAGCAACCUUGAUGGAGUCUUACAGAGAUGCGAAGAAACCAACCUCGUCUUGAAUUGGGAGAAGUGCCACUUUAUGGUUAAUGAAGGUAUCGUCUUAGGACACAAAAUCUCUGAAAGAGGCAUUGAAGUUGAUAAGGCUAAGGUUGAUGCAAUUGAUAAAAUGCCUUGCCCCACAGAUAUCAGAGGUAUACGAAGUUUCCUAGGUCAUGCUGGUUUGUAUAGAAGGUUCAUUAAAGACUUAUCUAAGAUUUCUAGGCCUCUUACCAACCUCUUGCAGAAGGAUGUUCCUUUUGUUUUUGAUGAGGAUUGUGAGGAAGCCUUCGAAAUACUUAAGAAGGCUUUGAUAACCGCACCUAUUGUUCAACCACCUGACUGGAACUUGCCCUUUGAAAUCAUGUGUGUCGCUAGUGAUUACGCUGUUGGUGCUGUUCUAGGACAAAGAGUUGACAAGAAGUUGAAUGUCAUUCACUACGCUAGUAAAACUCUAGACAGUGCCCAAAGAAACUAUGUCACUAUGGAGAAGAAAUUUUUAGUAGUCGUGUUUGCAUGUGAAAAAACAGAUCUUACAUAGUUGACUCCAAAGUCACUAUUCACUCUGAUCAGUCUGCUAUUAAGUACCUUAUGCAGAAGAAGGAUGCUAAGCCUAGGCUGAUCAGAUGGGUUCUCCUGCUACAGGAAUUUGAUUUGCACGUCGUUGACCGAAAAGGUGCUGACAAUCCUAUAGCAGAUAACUUGUCUAGACUAGAGAAUGUCCGUGAUGACCCACUACCAAUUGAUGACAGCUUUCCUGAUGAGCAAUUAAAUGUCAUCCGCACUUCACUUAGUGCACCGUGGUAUGCCGAUUAUGCAAACUAUAUCGUAGCCAAAUACAUACCACCCAGUUUCACCUAUGAACAAAAGAGGAAAUUCUUCGUUGAUUUGAGACACUACUUCUGGGAUGAUCCUCACCUUUAUAAGGAAGGAGUAGAUGGUGUUAUUAGACGUUGUGUGCCUGAACAUGAACAGGGACAGAUCCUGCAGAAGUGUCAUUCCGAAGCCUACGGAGGACACCAUGCUGGAGAUAGAAUUGCCCAUAAGGUAUUGCAAUCAGGUUUCUAUUGGCCCACUCUCUUCAAGGAUGCCCGUAAGUUUGUCUUUUCUUGUGACGAAUGCCUAAGGAUAGGGAACAUCAGUAAGCGUCAAGAGAUGCCUAUGAACUAUUCACUUGUCAUUGAACCAUUUGAUGUCUGGGGCUUUGAUUAUAUGGGACCCUUCCCGAGUUCCGAUGGGUACACUCACAUCUUAGUUGCUGUGGAUUACGUUACUAAGUGGGUAGAAGCUAUCCCCACUAAAAAUGCUGAUCACCACACCUCUAUUAAGAUGCUUAAAGAAGUCAUAUUCCCAAGAUUUGGAGUCCCUAGAUACUUGAUGACUGAUUGCGAUUCACACUUCAUUCAUGGUGUUUUCCGCAAGAUGCUAGCUAAGUAUGAUGUCAACCAUAGAGUUGCAUCUCCUUAUCAUCCUCAGUCUAGUGGUCAAGUGGAGUUGAGUAAUAGGGAGAUCAAAUUGAUCCUACAAAAGACCGUCAAUAGAUCUCGAAAGAACUGGUCAAGCAAACUUGACGAUGCACUAUGGGCUUAUAGGACUGCUUAUAAGAAUUCCAUGGGCAUGUCACCGUAUAAAAUGGUUUACGGUAAAGUCUAUCAUUUACCUCUUGAGCUGGAACACAAAGCUUAUUGGGCAAUCAAAGAGCUCAACUUUGAUUUCAAACUUGCUGGUGAGAAGCGGUUGUUUGAUAUCAGCUCGUUGGAUGAAUGGAGAGCCCAGGCAUAUGAGAAUGCCAGGUUGUUCAAGGAAAAGGUUAAGAGAUGGCACGACAAACGAAUACAGAAACGAGAGUUCAAUGUAGGUGAUUAUGUCUUGCUAUACAAUUCUCGUUUGAGAUUCUUUGCACGCUAGCUUCUCUCUAAAUGGGAAGGUUCCUAUGUUGUCGAGGAAGUAUAUCGUUCCGGUGCCAUCAAAAUCAAUAACACGGAAGGAAAUUUUCCUAGAGUGGUAAAUGGGCAAAGAAUCAAGCAUUACAUCUCUGGUACUCCCAUAAAUGUUGAGACCAAUAUCAUCAAUGUCAUAACUCCAGAGGAGUACAUAAGGGAUGUUUAUCAGCCUGUUUCAGACCUUGAAAACGAAGAUGUAUCUGUUUCGGCAAGAAAUUGGACUCCGAUAUUUUGUACGCAAGUAUGCAUGAUUGAAUGAAUCAUGAUACGAUCAACGUAUUUUGGCAUUCACUUUCUACAUCUUGUUUUUGUUCUUUUUUUCUUGUUUCUAUCAUUGUGGCACUCGGAUGGAUGGCGACGCUUCUUUUUUGAGUUCAUCUUCCAGGCUUCGAUUCUCAUUAAGUCUGUCCGUCUGGACAUAGUCGACGGAGCUACUGCGUAGAAUCAUGUUGUCUUCUUCUCGUGACGAGGUUAUGGUUUCUCGUCAUAUGACGAGAUUUGGUGUCAUUGCUUCAGAUCAAUGAAAUGGUUCUAUAGCGACGACUACGGUCCCAGGGUUUGGUCCUUACGUGCAUCUGGAGGAAGAUAUCUCGGAUGUCAUCGUCAGUGUCAAGUUGGCUCCGGUAGGGGAGCGGUGACAGCGAUGCAUCGUCGACACGUUCUAUCAGUUAAGUGGUUAUUCGGUGGUUUCGGAAUCUCAUUCUAAUUUUUAUUAUGUUUGAGAUGCUUUGUAUUUUCGAUGAACGUUUAUAAAAGAUCUGAUACUUUGCUUAAAAAUGAAUGAAAAAUGAUCCUUCCCCAUCGACUCUACUUCCGCUGCGCUACGAGUCGGUAAUGAUCAGAUAAAACCCUGUAUGCAUCUCCUUAGUGGUCCUGGGCGUGCUCGUAGUACCGAAAUUUUUUGUUUUCUAUCGCGUUCCUCUACAGUGGAAUCAUGAGCUAAGCUAUGGGUAGAUGGAGGUUAUGAUCUAGAAUACAUGAGAUGUAUGGGUAUAGCAUAGUAUAAUUUUGUAGUAGAUGAGAUCUAUUGCUGAAAAUUAUAUGUGCGGGUAGUAGAUGAAAUCUAUUACCCAAUAUUCUUGUUGCUUCGCGUGAAUUUGUGUGGUCCUGAUCCUGACGGCAUGGUGGAAUCUUACAAAGUUUUGGCAAUCCGCGAUCCUUUCAUGCUGCUCUUGAGUAUGUUGAUUGAUAGAUCACCGAAGUGCUUCAGUGCUUUUGGGUUCCACCAUAGUUGAGAAAGAUGGAUGUUUCGCAGACGAAAGGGAAAUGCAGAUAUGAUCUGCACGGGGGUCAUGCAUAUGACGAAGUUUAGUAUGGGGCUUGAGCUUUUAUUAUCUCGUGUUUCAUACACCUUGGAAAGUUAAUCUAGCAACUUGAAUUAUUAUACCUGAUGAUGAACGUUGGUAGCUGCAGUUUAAGUCAAAAACAUAGAAGCCAUGUAAAAAUAAAAUUUUGCAUUAACCAAUUAGAGGCGUCUAACUUGAUUUUACAGAAUGUGCAUGAGAUGUGGUAUAACAAUUCUCAUAUUCAACUUGAUUACGUAUGAGAUGACUAUAUAAUGUAAAUUAACAUGACCUGUGUGUCAUGAUUCUGCAUGAUGGCUGGAGCCAUAUGAUUGUCACUUUAAUGACAUGUGUUUCGACAUUAAGUAAUGCAUUUAUUUUACCAGCUAUAGAGAUAGCAAUAUUAUUUGAUGCGUCGAAAAGGUGGUGGCAAUAUUAUCUGAUGUGUACAUAUAUUUGUGCUAACCCUUUUCAAGUAUCCACACAACAUUUUUUUAUAAAUUGUGUACUUUUUCUUGGGUUUUAACUCAUCCUAAGUUGUUGUUCCCAUGAUCUUCGUGGGAAACCGUCUACUAUGUAGCUUCUCAUCCUGAAAAAAGGACCAGUUUUUGUAAGGUUGUUGUGUUCUUGGUUCUUUCACAAAAGUAUUGACUAGAUACUCUGCCUCUUUCUCUGAUAUCGGGCUUUCAACUCUCUAGUUAGGGUCAAAGGCUUAGAAUGUUACUCAUUAUGUAAACGAAUAUAAGACAGUUUAGAUCACUAUUAGCAUCUAAAAUGUUAAUAGUGACUCCCUAUAUAAACCAACAAAAGAACCCUUACGUUCUUUAUAUCAAGAUGGCAUUAGCAAUAGAACACUUACGUUACAAUGGGGCAGAAAAAUACCGCACAUCCUUAAUCCAAUAACCAUGACUCAAGGCUGCAUUCGGUCCACGUGGAUACCGUUUGUGUUGCGGCUUAUCCUCAUUACAACCCUUGCCGACAGUGGCCUCAGUCCUCAAACAACCACAACACGUUUGAAUGUGAUCAAUCCUAACGUGUAUUGCUCUCUCUCGGCAUCAAAUGAGAAAUCUUCUUUAUUUUCCCCUUGCAAGGUUUUGUCGAGGCUUGCUUGCGAGGCUAUAGAUGAUUUGUUUUGUCUCCAAUGUGGUUUUGCUAAGGUGCGAUUUCUAUUCCGUUACUACACUGUUUUCAAAGAAAGACGAACCGUGAGCUAUUGAUUAAGAUGGCAACCUAAAUAAUAUUUUAAAAGUGUUUAACAGGUAAAACAAAAUCACAUUCAGAUUCUAUAAUUCUUCUAAUUAAUCUUCAUCUAUAACAUGUCAAAAUUGAAGUUCGGGUUUAAAAGAUAUGGAUGUUCUUAAAAGUAUUUUAAUCAGCCCAUGGAGUUUGGGUUUAUUGAACAAAAUAUCGUUCUGAAAAACAUAGAAGAUUUUCUGGAGUCACUCAAAACAGGACAGUGGGUCGUUUAACCGAAAGGUUAAGAAGUUUUCAGUUAAAAAAAUAAAUAUUUUUUAUAUUCACUUAAAACCAGGACCGUGCGUUGAUUUCAUGAAACAAUAGGGUUUUUUCUUUGCAAAAGGCGCGACGGAUGGGUAGAAACAUUUCUCCUUUUAUUAGUAGGUAAAGACUAGUGAUCAAGAAUGUAUUAUACUCCCUUCAUUUCUAAAUAUAAGUGUUUUUAGAGAUUUCACUAAAAACUAUAUACGGAUGUAUAUAGACACAAUUUAGAUUGUAGAUUCAUUCAUUUUGCUUAAUAAUGGAGGAAGUAUUAGUUUACAGAUGUAGUGUCUUUAUGUGGCUAGCGAAAUACCAACAAUAUCUACAUGAUUAAAUGGAUGUGCCUAUAUGUGCAAUUCAGAGAGCUUGAGAGAGCAAGUUUUGGAUGAAUCCACCUUACUAUAUCCUAGUACAUCCAUCACACGUACAGCUAGCUAGGGAACCCUGACGCAAUGACGUGCAUAUAUAGAUAUGAGGCAACCCUGCCGACAUGGAAAACUAUAUGUCCAUGUGAACACUUGACUGGUCAUACUACACUACAAGAAAAUAGAAUAACCACACACGCAAUGUAUAUCAGAAUACCAGCACCGCGUAGACUUCACUAAUUGCAUGACAGGUCGAUCGACUUGCAUGUCCCAUGGAAAUGACUGGCCUAGGAUCACAGCAGUGGGGUGUCAGUUCGUAAAAUUUAACUUAAGUACCAUCUUAGUUUUAACAAAUAGUCCUAAAAUGGCACAAAGUUGUCAGAGAAUUAUAGCGAAUAUAGUAUAAAGUAGUUUGCAUUUUUUAGAGGAGUGCCACAGCCAUGGCAGUAUGGCACCUCAAGAUCUGCAGCUGUUUCGUGUAUUGGAGCUAAAUAAUGAGUGCAACAUUUCGGUGUCCUCUGCAUCCGGUUAGGAAAAAAAUCAUAAAAAACUUCAAAAAAUGCCAAUAAAAUCAAAAAAAAUCUCAUGGUAGAAAAGUUUUUGCGUGAGGUCCGCUCCAAUUUUUAGAUUAUUUGAACAUCUGAUAAGCUCUCAGCAAAAAAGAUAAAUUGGAUCAGAACAGUGUAUGAACCAUAACUUUUUUAUGAACCCUGAAUUUGUCUUUUUUUCUGAGAGAUGCUGAGAUGUUUAAAUGAUUUAAAAACUGAAGGGGCCUUUACCAUCAAAUUAUCUACAACGUAAAAAAAUCUAGUAUUUGUUUUGAUUUUAUUUUCUUCGGCGCGGGGUGCAGAUGAGCCUGGGCUCGGAAGUGGAUUAUCGCUAAAUAAUAUGUUGUUUUGUCAAAAGAAAGAUAGGACCCCCAGCCUCUGCAACCUCUGCAUUAUGAUGAUGCACACAACCAUAUUUAUUAAAGUUGAUGUAAGGGGCAGAGAACAAAAUUAUCAAUAAGUGUAGUACAUAACUAUUACAAGAUGUGAAUUUAACACUUAGGACUAAAUCGACUUCUUUCGCAAGACUUCAGUAAGGAAAAGACGCCCUCACAUCAUCGUCAUCACAUUCGACCGGAGACGUCUAGGACACGAAUUUCCAUCCUAGUAGCCCAACCAAGGCCGGGCGGGUCGCUGUUGGAUAUGAAUCCUGCAACUACCCUUGUUGGGCCAGUGGCUCCAGUCGAAGGCGCGAGAUGGCACAACUGCCCCGUCUACUUUAACGGGACCAUGAAGGCGCCUCAAAGCGCCAGCAUCACUCGCCAUGAGGAGCUCUCGAAGAUGGACUUGAGAGAAGGGGAGCGCUUACACGAUUUUGCUCAAGGAGAGGGGGAGCGCUUACACGAUUUUGCUCAAGGAGAGGGUGCAUCGUAAAAUCGCACGGUCUCCUAGAUUAGGGGGUAUUAACCUGGUCGGUCCACGCUCCUCGAAUUGGGCCGAUGGGCCAUCAUCCUACUCGAGGUGGACUCCGGAAGCUGCACAUUGGGUGUUAUCAAGGUUACAUCUGCCGAAGGCUUGACAUAUACUUCAAGACUCCUCCUCCCGCCUCUAUGUUAGGAUACCGACCUUGUAGCCCUAGAUAUCCUACGUAGGGUUUUACCUUCAUCAAGAGGGCUCGAACCUGGAUAAACAUCGUCUCCCUGUUCCUGUUAUCAUUUGUCCAACAUCAACAGCUUGGGGCCUCCUACCCCGAGGUCUACCGGUUUUCACACCCACUGUGUUCUCUCAAGAAAAAAAUGCUAUAUUUUUUUAACCGGUCUAACCCCCUUUCCAUUACUUGAAUAACGAAAUACAUCAGAUCCUAGAGUUCAACAGGAGGAGGGAAAGGAGAUAGAGCGAGUUCAACCAUUGCUAGGAAACCCACUGUGACCGCUCGUCAUCGAAUCGAUCACUGCGAGACGAAAACCUAGCUACAAUAUCCUAGCGGGAGAAGUAUCAUUCCUAUUACAACCUAGGAAUAAUAGGUACAAAAGAGAUAAUAGACUAAACAGUUUUUAAGUAUGUCAGAACACCACAAAAAGACUGCCAGCAGCCACCCUUGCAAAAGUGCAUCGUCCCCAUACCUCCGCUGUUCAUCCACGGCCAGCAUUGCACAGCCUCAUCAGUGACACAGUCCCCGCCCGAACAACUUCAGUUCCGGUUCGCAUCCUCUUCAUGUCGCCUGCUGGCUGCAAACCUGCCCAAUAAAGAAGGAAAGAGCAAUCAGUAAACACAAUCUCAAAUGAAGAUUUGAUCGGUUUUUUCUCCAAGGUAGGUGGAUUCCGAGCUAACCAAAUAGCCCAGGUAAUUGCAGCCAAGCCCACCGUAUAGAAUUUAUCAUCUCCAGGCAUGAAACAAUGGGACCAGGCAAAGUAUUGUCAGUGGUUGUUGGGUCCAAAAUAUGUCCCCAAACAAACCCCAGCCGAACGCCAUAACGCCAUAACUCUACAAAAAAGUGAUAUAAUGUGUAACUAUUUUGUUCAAGUCGAGCAGAUGGACUCUAUCUUGCACCAUAGCGUUUAAGCAGUAUUGAAAUUAGGUCCGCCUAUACAUCAAGUAUCUUGGGAAAAAAAACUGCAUCGAUCAAUUUUCCCAGCAGUUGGAUGGCACGAUCGUGGCACCACCUAUUAUCGUUUUCGCCCCUCACAUCGUACCUCCGUUCGGCCUCGCACAAAACAAAUUGUGUCUGACGCAAAGAAAAAAUGUAGGUACCUGAUGUUUAUCUAAACAAAUUGUGUGUUGGAUUAACUACUUAUUAUACAACAAGCUGAAGGUAUGUGUCCAGCCGUGCCAACGAGCCCGUACGGAAGAUAUAAUAGACACAUGAAAUCAAAGACAUACAGCUCGGAUAUGCGUCUCCCGUGAACGUGAUGAUCAGGGUAAGCCAGCUCCUAGAGCUGCCNNNNNNNNNNACAGAUGGACUCUAUCUUGCACCACAGCGUUUAAGCAGUAUUGAAAUUAGGUCGAGCAUAUGGUUUUCGCCCCUCACAUCGUACCUUCGUUCGGCCUCGCACAAAACAAAUUGUGACUGACGCAAAAAAAAAAUUCAGGUACCUGAUGUUUAUCAAAUGUGUGGAAUUCUUCGUCGGCACAACCAAUGGCGUCCUGGAUUAACUAAUUAUUAUACAACAAGCUGAAGGUAUGUGUCCAGCCGUGCCAACGAGCCCGUACGGAAGAUAUAAUGGACACAUGAAAUCAAAAAACCAUACAGCUCGUAUAUGUGUCUCCCGUGAACGUGAUGAUCAGGGUAAGCCAGCUCCGAGAGCUGCCAUGCCAGAUAUAUAUAUUCCUUUGUCCGAUGCGAUGCUCUAGAUUAUUUUGGCUCCACACUCGUAAAUCCAUCAAAUAUUUAUGUGCACUCUGCAGCAGACAACAUGCACAUAGGAGUACUCUUCUUGAAAANNNNNNNNNNUUUGAGAGCUCCCGUGAACCUUUGUCCGAUGUGAUGCUCUAAAUUAUUUUGGCUCCACACUCGUAAACCCAUCAAAUAUUUAUUUGCACUCUGCAGCAGACAACAUGCACAUAGGAGUACUCUUCUUGAAAACUAAAGGAAAGUCUCGUGGCACAGCUCUCAGGUUUUUGUUCAUUAGCGAACACAUUAAGCUCUAAUGAUGGAUGUCACACGUAACAUGCCAGUACAAUAAUGGUUGCACAUGAGUUUUGGAAAUUACCACGGCAACAGGCAAACUAACUACGUCGAUUGAUAAUGACAUGAACGAGGCACUUGCACNNNNNNNNNNCAAUGAUGGAUGUCACACACGUAACAUGCCAGUACAAUAAUGGUUGCACAUGAGUUUUGGAAAGUACCACGGCAACACGCAAACUAACUACGUCGAUUGAUAAUGACAUGAACGAGGCACUUGCACNNNNNNNNNNCUCGAUUGAUGAUGACAUGAAGGCACUUGCACACCACACCCGGUCUAUAAGUACCACCCCCAAACAACCCAAGAAAACCAUCCCAAGCUAGCAUACCCUACAAGCUUAAUUAGCCACAUACCAGCACAAACGAUCAGUAGCAAUNNNNNNNNNNUCUGUCCCAACAGCACUUGCACACCCCACCCGGUCUAUAAGUACCACCCCAAACAACCCAAGAAAACCAUCCCAAGCUAGCAUAGCCUACAAGCUUAAUUAGCCACAUACCAAAGGGCCUCCUGCCUGGGCUCACCGCACCGGCCACGUGGAGGCCCAUCUGUCCCGGUUUAUGCAAGAACCGAGACUAAAGGUUUAGGGCAUUAGUACCGACACUUUAGUCCCGGUUCAAAAAACGGGACAAAUGGCCCUCACGAACCGGGACAAUAGGUCCUUUUUCUACUAAUGGGAUAAGCUCUUUUGCAUUGUAGCUCGCUGGACGGUGUGGUUUAACUUUAGGUUUGUCCUUGUGAUGUUCGUGCUAUGCAUCAAGUGAUAGCUNNNNNNNNNNNNNNNNNNNNNNNNNNNNNNNNNNNNNNNNNNNNNNNNCUGGACACAUGGAAUCAAAACCGUACGAGACUCCUAUAUGUGUCUCCCGUGAACGUGAUGAUCAGGGUAAGCCAGCUCCUAGAGCUGCCAUGCCAGAUAUAUGUAUAUAUUCCUUUGUCCGAUCCGGUGCUCCAGAUUAUUAUGGCCACACUUGUAAGCCCAUCAAAUAUUUAUGUACACACAGCAGACAACAUGCAUAUAGGAGUANNNNNNNNNNAUGGACACAUGGAAUCAAAAUCGUACGACUCCUAUUUGUGUCUCCGUGAACGUGAUGAUCAGGGUAAGCCAGCUCCUAGAGCUGCCAUGCCAGAUAUAUCUAUUCCUUUGUCCGAUCCUGUGCUCCAGAUUAUUAUGGCCACACUUGUAAGCCAUCAAAUAUUUAUGUACACACAGCAGACAACAUGCAUAUAGGAGUACUCUUCUUGGAAACAAAAGGAAACUCUCAUGGCACAGCUCUCAAGUUUUUGUUCAUUAGCGAACAGAUUAAGCUCCAAUGAUGGAUGUCACACCCGUAACAUGCGAGUACAAUAAUGGUUGCACAUGAGUUUUGGAAAUUACCACGGCAAGAUUGAAACUAAUUACGUCGAUUGAUAAUGACAUGAACGAGGCAUUUGUUGGAAAUAAGUCGUGACGGAGCACGGUGCGACCGGCGUCGAUGCGUCGGGUCGGGUCCGUGACGGUGCGACCGACGUUGGUGCGUCGGGUCGGGUUCCGCAGGCUGGGUUACGACAACAUUGUGUGCAUGUACGUGUGGCGUGUGUGUAGUGCAGCGCAAAGCGUGCGUGGUCGCCAAGGCAGCUCGAGCUGGCCGUUAGCACGUUGUGCGCCUCGUGCGUGCUGGCCGGGCGGAUCGCUAGCUCUAGGUGCGUGCGUGCGUAGGAGACGUGGACGCUGCGUACCUGUAGGACUACAAAGCCGCGGACGCGAACAUGUAUUCAUCAGGGAAAGGAAGCAAAGUGGCUGUGUGUGCGGCCAGGCGUUAGUCGCCGGAAAAACUCCAGUGUGCAUUCUCCUUUCUUCUACCUCUGUCCAGUUGUGUGUGAGAGANNNNNNNNNNUCGAGUUCGUCGCUUGCCGCGCCGGGCAGGAGAACGAGAGGAAGAAGAAGAGAAAUGGAUGAUUUGGUUCGAAAUUUUCUAACUCCCGCUUAUACAGGUGGAUCUACAGUCCCGAUUCGUGGCUCGAUCCGGGACUAAAGAUCCUUUAGUCCCGGAUGGAGCCACGAACUGGGACUAAAGGCCCUUUUUCGGCUGACCAGAAGGCGGGAAGCAGGGGCCUUUAGUCCCGGGGCGUGGCUCGAACCGGGACUAAAGACCACUUUAGUCCCGGGUGGAGCCACGACCCGGGACUAAAGCCCCUUUUUCGGCUGACCAGAAGGCGGGAAGCAGGGGCCUUUAGUCCCGGGGCGUGGAAAGAACCGGGACUAAAGUUUUGCCUAUAUAAACCCUCGCCCCUGCCCACCAUAUCCCCUGUUUUUUGGUUGUUGAAGUGUGACCAUGCCAUGCUCUUGCCACUCUAGUUCAUGCACAUGACGUGUUCGAUGAAAUGCUCGAGCCACUCUACUUAAGCUUUCUCCUCUCCAAGCUCGACCUCCAAGCUCCAUUUUCCUUAAUAUUUGUCUAGGUUUGGCCGUGCACCAACUGCGAGCACCACCGUGGUGAGCCUCUUGUUCUUAUCUUCUUUUUAAAAUUAAAAAAAUCUUACUUGUAUGAAUUAUAUACAUACUUGUAUAAAUUACUCACUUUCAUUAUUUUUUGUUAUGAUAUAGUGCGAUGGUUUUGGUAUCCGCCUCCGUCGGCCCUCGUCCUGUCUAUGAUUCGGAUGUGGUAUAUAUUAUAUUUUAUAACUAUUUGUUUUAUUUAGUGUUUAUGACAAUUAUGACAUAUAUUUUUUAAUCUAGGAGGUAUGUGAACCGGAAAUUCCAACCCACAUAAAAAUUCUUGUCGAGAAGUUCAAUUUGGUUGAAAAAGAAAACAAAUACUUGAAGAAAAAAUUGAAAAUAAUUGAGGAUAAGAAUAUGGAACUGGAGUUGCAUGUCGCCGAUGUCAUCGAUGAUUGCAAGAUGAAGAUCGAUGCGAUGCGGUUGAAGAUGGAUGCAAUGCGCUUGAAGAUGGAUGAAAUGCGCUUGAAGAUUAGGAAUAUUAGAAAAUAUGCCAUUGAUAAGGAGGUUGGUAUCAUUAUGUUGUUGGGUCAAUUGUUACCUUAGUGCGAUUUUGAUCGCGUUUGUUGUUGCAUUUAAAUGUUUUACAUAGUUGUAUGUUGUUUCAUGAGAGAACUUUAUGUAUUUAUUUUUUGCAAUAAUAACAUUUGGUCACUACUGUUCUUUGGCUUUAAUGUGAUGAUGAACUUGUAUUAAUUUGGUCAUAUGUUUUGCAAUGGUUUUUUAAUAUAUUUGAUUUCAUAAUAGAGAUGAAUCGCCAAUGAUAAUAUUUAAUUUCAUAAUAUGGUUUUUUGAACUCCAUAAAAAGUUGAGAGGGCUACGACAAAAACUAGAUGCACUUCGUGUACAAAACGGACAAUCUCUCUCGAAGUAUCAGGGUUUCGAACGAGAACUUGUCUCUUACAAAGGGAUUUCAUUUUUGUGAACUUAUUUGAACUCCAUACUUUUUGGUGUGUUCAAAAUGCACCAUUCAAAGGCACAACACAAAAUUUCAACAAUUUCUGACUUCAUUUGGUAUAUUUCGUGGAUUUACUUAUUUGUUUUGAGCUAGUUGACCCUGAAAUUGAAAAGCACUACAAAUGAACUCUGAAAAUGUUGAAAGUUGGCAUGCUAUCAUCAUUUCACCCACAUAGCAUGUGCUAAAAAGUUGAGAGGGCUACGACAAAAACUGGAUGCACUUCGUGUACAAAACGGACAAUCUCUCUCGAAGUAUCAGGGUGUCGAACGAGAACUCAUCUCUUACAUGGAUAAUAUGAAAAUGAAAAGUGUUUGAAAUUUAGUACGUUCCAUACAUGCAUUACAUAAAAGGUUUAAUANNNNNNNNNNUUGGAUGCACUUCGUGUACAAAACGGACAAUCUCUCUCGAAGUAUGAGGGUUUCGAACGAGAACUCAUCUCUUACAUGGAUAAUAUGAAAAUGAAAAGUUUUUGAAAUUUAGUACGUUCCAUACAUGCAUUACAUAAAAGGUUUAAUACAUUAUUACAUUAUUGCACCAAUAUUCCUAUCUAUUAUUUCUGUUUUAUUCUGGGUCAUAGCCAUGGAGAAUCUUCAUCAUUCAUUAGGAUGCUUGGGUCAUUUUUCACUUUGAAGGGCGGAAUUUCAUGAAACUUAUUAUAAUCUUCUGNNNNNNNNNNCUUUUCUUCUGGGUCGUAGCCAUGGAGAAUCUUCAUCAUUCAGUAGGAUGCUUGGGUCAGUUUUCACUUUGAAGGGCGGAAUUUCAUGAAACUUAUUAUAAUCUUCUGACAUGUCUGUCUUGUCAUCUACUCCCACGAUGUUUCUUUUCCCUGAAAGAACCAUGUGGCGUUUUGGCUCAUCGGAUGAUAUCUUCUUUUGCUGAUUUCUUUUUCUCGUUAAUGUAGACAUGUCCUUCACAUAGAAAACCUGAGCGACAUCAUUGGCUAGGACAAAUGGUUCGUCCAUGUACGCAAGAUUGUUAAGAUCCACUGUUGUCAUGCCGUACUUUUGGUCUACAACUAACCCGCCUCCUCUCAGUUUCACCCAUUUGCACCGAAAUAAAGGAAUCAUAAAAGUAGGUCCAUAGUCAAGUUCCCAUAUCUCCUCUAUGUACCCGUAAUAUGUUUCCAAACAGUGCCCAUUCUCGUCUGUUGCAUCAAAGCAUACACCACUAUUUUGGUUGGUGCUCUUUUUAUCUUGGGCAACCGUGUAAAAUGUAUUCCCAUUUAUCUCAUACCCUUGCAAAGUACAUAUAGUCGAAGAUGGUGGCCUGGCCAAACAGUACAGCUCAUCUCCAACGGUGUCGUCAUUCAGGAGAUGUGUCUGCAACCAACUNNNNNNNNNNGAAAGUACAUAUAGUCGAAGAUGGUGGCCUGGCCAAACAAACAACUCAUCUCCAACGGUGUCGUCAUUCAGGAGAUGUGUCUGCAACCAACUGCCGAAAGUCUUCUCGUGUUCCCCUUUAAUCCAAGAGUCAGCCUUCCCCGGGUUUUCGGAGCGUAGAAUAUUCUUGUGUCUCACGAUAUACGGAGCCACCAUGGUGGAAUUGUGUAGAACUGUGUAGUGUGCUUGAGAGAAAGAAUGCUCGUCCAUACAUACUUUUGCUUUCCUUCCUAGUGUGCCUUUUCCUGUCAGCCUACCCUCAUACCGAGAUUCAGGAACACCAAUCGGCUUAAGGUCAGGAAGAAAGUCCACACAAAACUCAAUGACCUCCUCUGUUCCAUAGCCCUUGGAGAUGCUUCCUUCUGGCCUAGCACGGUUACGAACAUAUUUCUUUAAGACUUCCAUGGACCUCUCGAAGGGGAACAUAUUGUGUAGAAACACAGGACCGAGAAUUCUAAUCUCUUCGACUAGGUGAACUAGGAGGUGUGUCAUUAUAUUGAAGAAGGAUGGCGGGAACAACAACUCAAAGCUGACCAGACAUUGGACCACAUCAAUCUGUAACCCUGAUAGACUUUCUCGAUCGAUUACCUUCUGAGAAAUUGCAUUGAGGAAUGCACAUACCUUCACAAUUGCCAGGCGAACAUUUUCCGGUAGAAUUCCCCUCAAUGCAACCGGAAGCAAUUGCGUCAUAAGCAUGUGGCAGUCAUGAGACUUUAGGUCUUGGAAUUUUUUGUCUUUCAUAUUUAUGAUUCCCUUUAUAUUCGACGAGAAGUCAGUCAGGACCUUGAUACUGAAAAGGACUUCAAAGAAGAUUUCCUUCUCUUCCUUAGUAAGAGCGUAGCUGGCACGCCCUUGAAACUGCCCUGGAUGCAUGCCAUCUCUUCCUUUAUGACGUUCCUGGUCCUCCCGUGCUUCCGGUGUAUCUUUUGACUUCCCAUACAAGCCCAGGAAGCCUUGAAUAUUCACGCAGAGAUUCUUCGUCAGGUGCAUCACGUCGAUUGCCGAGCGGACCUCAUGGACUUCCCAGUAGGGUAGCUCCCAAAAUAUAGAUUUCUUCUUCCACAUGGGUACGCGCUUAUCAGGGCCGUUAGGAACAGGUUGGCUGCCAGGACCCUUUCCAAAGAUUACUUUUAAAUCUUUGACCAUAUCAAAUACUUCAGCACCAGUACGGAUGACAGGCUUCCCCCGGGGUUCUGCCUUGCCAUUGAAAUGNNNNNNNNNNAGACCCUUUCCAAAGGUUACUUUUAAAUCUUUGACCAUAUCAAAUACUUCAGCACGAGUACGGAUGACAGGCUUCCCCCGGGGUUCUGCCUUGCCAUUGAAAUGCUUGACUUUUUUCUUUAAGGGAUGCUUGGGCGGAAGAAAACAACGAUUGUACGGAUACACAUUCUUCCUACAGUUGUCGAGAUAUAUACUUUCUGUCUGAUCCAAACAGUGCGUGCAUGCAUUGUAUCCCUUGUUUAACUGUCCUGAAAUGUUACUAAGAGCAGGCCAAUCAUUGAUGGUUACGAAAAGCAACUCUCGAAGGUCAAAUUCCUCUUGUUUGUGCUCGUCCCACACACGUACACCUGGUUCGGCCCACAGCUGUAAAAGUUGAUCAACUAAUGGCCUUAGGUACACAUCAAUAUCGUUGCCGGGUUGCUUUAGACCUUGUAUAAGCACUGGCAUCAUAAUAAACUUCCGCUUCAUGCACAACCAAGGAGGAAGGUUGUAGAUACAUAGAGUAAUGGACCAGGUGUUGUGACUGCAACUCUGCUCCCCAAAAGGAUUCAUGCCAUCUGUACUCAGACCUAACCAUAAGUUCCUUGCGUCUGCUGCAAAUCUCGGGAACUCUCUCUUGAUUUUUCUCCACUGCCGACCAUCAGCGGUGUGCCUCAACUUAUCGUCUUUCAUACAAUCUUCCAUGUGCCAUCGCAACAACUUCGCAUGAUCUUUAUUUCUGAACAGACGUUUCAACCGUGGUAUUAUAGGAGCAUACCACAUCCCCUGGCAGGAACCGUCUUCCUGGGUGGCUCGCCCUCAAUAUCACCAGGGUCAUCUUUUCUGAUCUUAUACCGCAAUGCAGUCUAUACCGGGCAUUUAUCCAUAUUCUCGUACUUCUCACCUCGGUAGAGGAUGCAUUCAUUAGGGCAUGCAUGUAUCUUCUGCACGUCUAAUCCUAGAGGGCAGACAAGCUUCUUUGCUUCGUACGUGCUGGCGGGCAAUUCGUUCUUUCUUGGAAGCAUCUUCUUCAUCAGUACCAGCAACUUUUCGAAUGACGAGUCAGUCACACCGGUCUCUGUCUUCCACUUCAGCAAUUCCAGUGUGCUACCCAGCUUCUUCUGGCCAUCUUCACAAGUUGGGUACAACAAUUUGUUGUGGUCCUGUAACAUCUGCUCGAACUGCAACCUCUCCUUUUCUAUGUCGCAACCUCGCCGUGCAUCAGAAAUGACCCGGCCAAGAUCAUCAGCGGGCUCAUCUGGUUCCCGUUCUUCAUCCUGAUCUUCUUCUUCAUUGUCUUGCAUUGCGGUAUCAGCAUACUCAGGGAACAUAGAUCGGUAGUUGUCAUCAUCGUUCUCUUCUUCUUCAUCGUCGCCUUCCAUCAUAACCCCUCUUUCUCCGUGCUUGGUCCAAACAUUAUAGCCCGACAUAAAACCGGACCGAAGCAGGUGGCUCUGAAUGACUCUUGAGGAAGUGUAAUCCUUCCAAUUCGACAUUCAACACAUGGACAAAACAUAUAGCCACCACCAUGCUUGUUCGCAUUGGCUGCAUCUCGAAAAGAAUGCACGCCUUCUCUGUAAGCGGCUGUGCGUCGAUCACCGUACAUCCAUGGAUGGCUCAUCUCUGCGUUAUACGACAGUAUAUCAAAUACAAUCACGAUCCUAAAAAUUAGUACCGCACGAUCUAAACGAGGAAAUAUAGUUGCUAACCUUUUAGAAUAAGUAGAAAUAAAGAGGAAGAGGUUUAAGCGUGGCUUGGGCAUCUCAUAUCGUAGUUGUAUUCGGUGAACUGAAGCGGCAUCGCUCUAACACACAUUUCAACAAACACCUCUAGUGCAUAAAAAAAAGUGGAGAGCAAGCACCCACCCACAAUCCUCCAUCCAAUAAAAAUGCAACGAAGAGGGGAGAGGGGGGCUGUGCUAUAUAUAGGCAGAGGACUUUAGUCCCGGUUUGAGACACAAACCGGGACUAAAGGUGGCGCACAUGCGGGCUGCCCACCGCGUAGCCCUUUACUCCCGGCUUGGGACACGAACCGGGACUAAAGGCUCCUUACGGGCCGGGACUAAAGCCUCGAGGGAGGAUAUGAGAAUUGGGGCGACGUAGCCGGGCCUUUAGUUCCGGCCCAGAGGCAGGCCGGGACUAAAGGGUACAGGCCAAAGGCCCGGUUUCUACUAGUGUAUGUGUCCAGCCCUGCCAACGAGCCAGUAUAAUACACCAGAGUACGAAAGAUAUAAUAUACACAUGAAAUCAAAACCAUACAGCUCUUAUAUGUGUCUCCCGUGACCGUGAUGAUCAGGGUAUGCCAGCCCCUAGAGCUUCCAUGCCAGAUAUAUUCCUUUGUCCGAUGCUAUGCUCCAGAUUAUUAUGGCCACACUUGUAAACCAAUCAAAUAUUUAUAUGCAAACAGCAGACAACAUGCAUAUAGGAGUAUCUUCUUGGAAACUAAAGGAAACUCUCAUGGCACAGCUCCCAGGAUUUUGUUCAUUAGUGAAGAGCAGAUUAAGCUCCAAUGAUGAAUGUCACACACGUAACAUGCCAGUACAAUAAUGGUUGCACAUGAGUUUUGGAAACUACCACGGCAAGAAUGAAACUAAUUACCUCGAUUGAUAAUGACAUGAACGAGGCACUUGCACACCACACCCGGUCUAUAAGUACCACCCCCAAACAACCCAAGAAAACCAUCCCAAGCUACCAUAGCCUACAAGCUUAAUUAGCCAUAUACCAGCACGAUCCAUCAGUAGCAAUGGCGCCUUCCAAGCUCGCCUUCUUCCUCGCUCUGAACCUGGUCCUCCUUGCCGCCGUGCAGGGCUGCGGUCCCUACUGCCCACCGGUCNNNNNNNNNNGGCGCCCUCCAAGCUCGCCCUCUUCCUCGCCCUGAACCUGGUCCUCCUUGCCGCUGUGCAGGGCUGCGGCCCCUACUGCCCACCGGUCGUCCCCACCCCGCCGAUCCUCCCACCACCCGUGCCGUCGACCGACGGAGGCAGCUGCUCGAUCAACACGCUGAAGCUGGGCGUGUGCACCAACGUGCUGAACCUGCUGAAGCUUAAGAUUGGCGUGCCGGCGAACGAACAGUGCUGCCCACUCCUGGGCGGGCUCGCCNNNNNNNNNNGCUGCUCGAUCAACACGUUGAAGCUGGGCGUGUGCGCCAACGUGCUGAACCUGCUGAAGCUCAAGAUCGGCGUGCCGGCGAACGAGCAGUGCUGCCCACUCCUGGGCGGGCUCGCCGACCUCGACGCCGCGGUGUGCCUCUGCACCGCCAUCAGGGCCAACAUCCUCGGCAUCAAGCUCAACGUCCCCAUCGACCUGACCCUCCUCCUCAACCAGUGCGGCAAGAAGUGCCCAACCAACUUCACCUGCCCCAUCUGAUGCAUCCAUCCAUUGCAUGGGCUCCCUCGCUCGUGCAUGCAUGCUUGAUAAGCUCGUGAUUGAUCAUCAGGGUCAUUGUAUCCCGUUAUGGUAUCUAAAUGCACGAUUUGCAUAUUUGUAAAAGGAUAUACAUACUUGUACACGCACCUUGGAAUAUAAAAUUUGUUCAAGUUGGGGUUUUCUCUCUUCCCUCUCGGCUGGAACCCUAGCCCUCCUCGUCAAGAGAAAAGAUCAUCCUAGUGUAUGUAGCUUAGUAAAUAUACCCUAGCCCUCCUCGGCACAAAAAAUCUUAUGUAACUUAGGAACAAGGCAGGAUCUAAGAAUCAUUUUUNNNNNNNNNNCAACACGUUGAAACUGGGCGUGUGCGCCAACGUGCUGAACCUGCUGAAGCUCACUCCUGGGCGGGCUCACCGACCUCGACGCUGCCGUGUGCCUCUGCACCGCCAUCAGGGCCAACAUCCUCGGCAUCAAGCUCAAUGUCCCCAUCGACCUCACCCUCCUACUCAACCAGUGCGGCAAGAAGUGCCCCGCCAACUUCACCUGCCCCAUCUGAUCCAUCUAUCCAUGGAUUUACUCGUAGCUAUAUAUUGCAUGUCAUACGCGCGCACCAUAUGUCAGGACUUUGCAUGGGCUCCCUCGCUCGUGCAUGCAUGCUUGAUAAGCUCGUGAUNNNNNNNNNNNNNNNNNNNNNNNNNNNNNNNNNNNNNNNNNNNNNNNNNNNNNNNNNNNNNNNNNNNNNNNNNNNNNNNNNNNNNNNNNNNNNNNNNNNNNNNNNNNNNNNNNNNNNNNNNNNNNNNNNNNNNNNNNNNNNNNNNNNNNNNNNNNNNNNNNCUACUUGUACACGUACCUUGGAAUAUAAAGUUUGUUCAAGUUGGGUUAACUCGACUCGUGAUAUGCCAGCUUGAGUUGUAUAUUCAUGCAUGAUUGCAUCAAUCAUGAUCAGAUCCACAUCUUUCCACAUGCAUUAGCUACAUCUUCUUUCUUUCUUUUUUGCCUAGAUGAUCGUUGCUAAAACUAAAUAUCAUGCUGAAGAUUUUCUUCUCUCCAAUGCCACCUUUUUACAUCUUGACGUUCUAGCUGAUCCAUAAAAAAUUCAAGGAUGCAUGCAUCGUACUCCUAUAUGGUAGAUGUCAUCUACCUUUGCGGCUUUUUUUAUGCAAUUGCACAUGCUCAUAGCUCACAUACACGUACAUACACUCACCUAUAUAAACUUAUGCACGCAUCCUAUAUCUACGAGCGCCUCCGAGAUAUUGAGUCACCACAACAUUUGAGAUUGACAAAGUCGUCAGAAACGUUUCAUGAUAGAUGGAAAUAUCUUCUUUCACUGAUCGAACAUCGCCAUGUGACAUUUGUGGUAAGCAGUUCAAACUUAUUAAGGAAAGAAUUGAAUAAAUCUAGAAAAUUUUGAGCAUUGGUGUCAAGUCUAACUGGUGGGCUGAUUCCACCGCAAGUAACCUAACUAUUUAUGCUAUGCUCAAUUCGCUACUUAAGUUAGCAUAAUAUAUUCUAUAGUGAAUAUGUACAAGUCAUCCAUUGUUGUAUCUUGUUGUGGCAUCUAACAGACUCACAUGUUCAUAGAAGGACACAAAGAAUAAUAAAAAGAGUGAAUUCUGGUUUUUACCCCCUAUUUUAACAUUUUUGACACUAGUUACCCGAUUUCAAGUCUAGCAUGUUCCUGGGCGGGCUCGCCGACCUCGACGCCGCCAUGUGCCUCUGUACCGCCAUCAGGGCCAACAUCCUCGGCAUCAAGCUCAACGUCCCCAUCNNNNNNNNNNNNNNNNNNNNNNNNNNNNNNNNNNNNNNNNNNNNNNNNNNNNNNNNNNNNNNNNNNNNNNNNNNNNNNNNNNNNNNNNNNNNNNNNNNNNNNNNNNNNNNNNNNNNNNNNNNNNNNNNNNNNNNNNNNNNNNNNNNNUCCCAUGUUGAUAAACGUUGAUGCUGCAGUCUUCUCACAAUCAUCACGAAUGGGAGUGGGCAUAGUAAUAAGAAGUCACCUAGGAGGCUAGGACUACUACUAGCAACCAAAACAAGGUAUGUGGACCAAGUGGUUAACCUUGAACUCGCGGAGGCCUGUCCCAUGUGAUCCCAUGUUACAGUUCAUAUGUCAGGCGUUUGCAUGGGCUCCCUCGCUCGUGCAUGCAUGCUUGAUAAGAUUGUGAUUGAUCAAUGUCAAUGUAUCACGUUAUGGUAUCUAAAUGCAUGAUUUGCAUAUUGUAAAAGGAUAUACAUACUUGUACACGUACCUCGGUACCUGGAAUAGAAAGUGUGUUCAAGUUGGGUUAACUCGAUCGACUCGUGAUAUGCCAGCUUGAGUUGUAUAUUCAUAUGUACAUGCAUGAUUGCAUCAAUCAUGAUCAGAUCCACAUCUUUCCCCAUGCAUUAGAUGAUCCUUGAUAAAACUAAAAAUCUUGCUGAAGAUUUUCUUC
This 34861-nucleotide long non-coding RNA is filed under the name Hordeum vulgare. Its description in RNAcentral is "long non-coding RNA (HVUL_LNC020459)". The record is from RNAcentral. Lineage: Eukaryota; Viridiplantae; Streptophyta; Magnoliopsida; Poales; Poaceae.